Molecule: transfer RNA, 67 nt
Filed under: Trichinella spiralis
Lineage: Eukaryota; Metazoa; Nematoda; Enoplea; Trichinellida; Trichinellidae
Description: tRNA-Met
Source: RNAcentral
GAGUAGUNNUGUAAGCUAAGUUUAAGCUGUUGGGUUCAUACCUCAAAUAUACUUUGUGUCAUUAUUA